Molecule: ribosomal RNA, 467 nt
Filed under: uncultured bacterium
Lineage: Bacteria
Description: partial 16S ribosomal RNA
Rfam family: Bacterial small subunit ribosomal RNA
Source: RNAcentral
GAUGAACGCUGGCGGCGCGCCUAACACAUGCAAGUCGAACGAUUAAAGCACCUUCGGGUGUGUAUAAAGUGGCGAACGGCUGAGUAACACGUGGGCAACCUGCCCCUUUCAUUGGGAUAGCCACGGGAAACCGUGGAUAAUACCGAAUACUUCGAGACUUCCGCAUGGAAGACUCGAGAAAGCUCCGGCGGCGAGGGAUGGGCCCGCGGCCUGUUAGCUUGUUGGUGGGGUAACGGCCUACCAAGGCAAUGAUGGGUAGCUGGGUUGAGAGACCGACCAGCCAGAUUGGGACUGAGACACGGCCCAGACUCCUACGGGAGGCAGCAGUGGGGAAUCUUGCACAAUGGGCGAAAGCCUGAUGCAGCGACGCCGCGUGCGGGAUGAGGGCCUUCGGGUUGUAAACCGCUUUCAGCAGGGACGAGGCGAAAGUGACGGUACCUGCAGAAGAAGCCCCGGCUAACUACGUG